UGAUAGCAAGACGAUGGUUCAAUUAGAUGUGUUAAAGGAGAGACAGAGAAAUCUUUUCUUCGUUACAAACUUAAAAUUUUAUUUGACAAAAAUGAGUCUGACUUGCUAUCU
This is a small nucleolar RNA of Papaver somniferum (opium poppy), 111 nucleotides long. RefSeq annotates it as small nucleolar RNA Z266. The transcript has a single exon. The record is from RefSeq and is a predicted model, not a curated record. Lineage: Eukaryota; Viridiplantae; Streptophyta; Magnoliopsida; Ranunculales; Papaveraceae.